AUUUGCUCAACUAGAACAGAUCCGGAGCCUUGAACUUGAUAUCAAAUCCACGAUCUGAGCUACACCAACAUGACAAGACAUACAGACGAGCAUAAGUAACUGGAAAUAGUCAUCUUCAGCAACCGAUCAAGACAGAAACCAAAAUUUCCAGAAAAUCAAAGCAUAGGAUAACAAAACACGAAUUAAUCAAACCGAUCACUACAAAUCUCAAACAGCUAUCCUAAACCCCAUGGAAUAUGAGAGAGAUUUGAGAGACUGCAAAACAUAUAUUAAGUUGAGAACGAGAUGAAAGAAGGGAAGGAUUGGGCCAUUUAUAGGUCUGAGACGCGUUUCAGAUAAAGCAAACGUAAAAAUCACGCACUGCUGGCAUGUCGAUUAACAUGAGUGGCUUGGA
Ipomoea nil (Japanese morning glory) is the source of this 394-nucleotide long non-coding RNA. RefSeq lists it as uncharacterized. The record is from RefSeq and is a predicted model, not a curated record. The transcript has 4 exons. NCBI's taxonomy places the organism in Eukaryota, Viridiplantae, Streptophyta, Magnoliopsida, Solanales, Convolvulaceae.